RNAcentral lists this ribosomal RNA (253 nucleotides) under uncultured bacterium. Its description in RNAcentral is "partial 16S ribosomal RNA". It matches the Rfam family "Bacterial small subunit ribosomal RNA", at positions 524 to 776 of the family's 1533-position model. The record is from RNAcentral.
UACGUAGGGUGCAAGCGUUGUCCGGAAUUAUUGGGCGUAAAGAGCUCGUAGGCGGUUCGUCGCGUCGGCUGUGAAAUCCCGGAGCUCAACUCCGGGUCUGCAGUCGAUACGGGCGGACUUGAGUACUGCAGGGGAGACUGGAAUUCCUGGUGUAGCGGUGAAAUGCGCAGAUAUCAGGAGGAACACCAAUGGCGAAGGCAGCACUCUGGGACGGUACUGACGCUGAGACGCGAAAGCGUGGGGAGCAAACAGG